AAAUGAUAAAUUCAAUAUUUAGAAUGGGAAUUCCCAUUUCUGACGAAAGACUGAGGAACAGCAUACCUAACCAACAAGGAAGUAGAACACAGUUAACAUCUAGAUCUAGAUUCUAUAUUUACUUGGUUGAUUUCAACAUCUUAGAGUGCUUUGAGCUUUGUCUAGAUCUACACAGUAACUUACAAGCCUUUCUCCUUUUCGACUUUCGAACAAACUUGUGUUACAUUGUGAGGAGAAAAAUAACUUACUGGAUAAUACCAGUGUCAAAGAAAAGCCUGAGGCUGAGACAUCCGAUAAACCAAGCGAAACAAAGAUGGCACUUGUUACUGAAGAAACAGAAUUUGAAGUAGUAAUGGAGGAGAAUAGAAAACUUCAUAAGAAAUUACAUUGCAAAAACUGCAGAAAGAAUGAGAGCAAUGUGUUAAUGUCCCCUUGUGGUCAUCUCAUCUGCAAGGAAUGUGAAAGUUCUGUUACAACAUGCCCUGAUUGUAACACUAAAGUAGACAACACAAUGGACGUUAUUAUUCCAUGCUGAUGUUCAAGACACAUCUUUCACACUUCAAAGCAAAGUACAGCAGGAAUUGAAUUGAUUUUUAACAUUUUUUAUGCUUAUUAUUUUUUAAAGACUUGUGUAUUCUUAAGUUUAAUAUCAAAACUGUCUGGACCAUUGAUUUUGUCCUAUAUGUAUAGUUAUUAGGGAUGAUUCUUCAACUGAAUACAAAAACCCUAAUAAUAUAUGUAUAUAACAAAUCAGUAGUCUAAGUGUUGAUGUAAUCUUAUAUGUUCUGACAGUUUAUGAUAAAUUGUUGUUCUACAUUUCAACCACACUAAACGGUCCCAAGUCCGUUAAUGGAAAAUCAAGCAAAUAUACAAGAAUAGUAGGCCUAAUUCUAAUUUUUUUGAAACAGCCAUAGAAAAAAAUCUUAUAUUUAGACCAUGUGUAUCAAAUUAGUCUAUUUUUUCACACACAAGUACUGUUAAAAAUAAUUUUUAAAAUAAUUUAUUUAAUUAAUAAGAAGAUUAUUAAUUUACUCUAUUUUUAAAUAUAUGCUGAUUUUCCAGAGUGGGAGGGUUGAGCUAUUUUCUACAUAAACUAAAGAUUUUGUUUAUUUAGAAGCCAUACUAAAUGACAUCUAUGAAAGAUGUCAUUUGGUAUUUCUUCUAAACAAAAAAAAGCUUUAGUUUUGGAGCAGGUUUUUGCUUGUAAAAAUGUAGAAAAUAUCUGAACUCUUUCAUAAUAAGUCAUUGUUUUCAUAUAUCAACUAUUUCACUGUUUUAUAAUAAAUACUCAAUAUUUAGUUGUUUAAAAUACUUUAUUUGGUUUGCAAGUCCUAGUUGUGGGAUAUUGUGUACACACUGAAACUCUGAUUUAUUUAUAUGUAUUAUGAUAAUGCUAUUAUCAGAUGAGUUGUAGAAACAAUAUUAAUAAAAAAAACAACUACAUUUUAGUGAAUUGAUGCUCAGAUGUUUUUCAAUUUUCAUUUAAAUGAAUAAUAUACUGUUCAAUGUGCUACAGUUUUACUAUACUCAAAAGUAGGUUUACUGCGUAGUUAGCUUUACGUCUAGAAAUGGAGAAAACACCAUGAUAAUUUCCAUUGUUAUUAUUUUCAUACAAAGAUUUUAAUGUCUGAUAUAGAUUUUUUAAAGUAAACUUUAGCACUUGUAAUUUUAUAAAUUAUUCCCUAUUUUCAGCUAUUCAAAUAUGAAGAGAUACUCUAUAUAAACUGAAUGUACUUUUUUUUAGCAAUUAACAAAUAGGAAAGAAAUGGUGACAUCUAGAUAAGUAAUUUGUAAACCAGUAUUUCUUUAAAAUAAACAAAGAUUUUUUUUUAUAUGCAAUGUUUUCCUAUACUACAAUUGUUCAUAUAUUUUAAAGCUCUUUGGUCAAAAAGAAAGCGAAAUUAAAACAAUGUACUUUUUAAGACUUAGUUUUCCAACAUUGUAUUUUGUAACUUAAGCAAAAUGUAUUUAACGUACUUGUACUACAACAUCUUUAAACCAAAUAAAGUUAUUUUAGUCAAACUUGCGUUCAACCAAUCAUGCUAUAUAA
Molecule: long non-coding RNA, 2050 nt
Organism: Physella acuta
Lineage: Eukaryota; Metazoa; Mollusca; Gastropoda; Physidae
Source: RefSeq, a predicted model, not a curated record